AGAGUUUGAUCCUGGCUCAGAUUGAACGCUGGCGGCAGGCCUAACACAUGCAAGUCGAGCGGAUGAAGGGAGCUUGCUCCUGGAUUCAGCGGCGGACGGGUGAGUAAUGCCUAGGAAUCUGCCUGGUAGUGGGGGAUAACGUCCGGAAACGGGCGCUAAUACCGCAUACGUCCUGAGGGAGAAAGUGGGGGAUCUUCGGACCUCGCGCUAUCAGAUGAGCCUAGGUCGGAUUAGCUAGUUGGUGGGGUAAAGGCCUACCAAGGCGACGAUCCGGAGCUGGUCUGAGAGGAUGAUCAGUCACACUGGAACUGAGACACGGUCCAGACUCCUACGGGAGGCAGCAGUGGGGAAUAUUGGACAAUGGGCGAAAGCCUGAUCCAGCCAUGCCGCGUGUGUGAAGAAGGUCUUCGGAUUGUAAAGCACUUUAAGUUGGGAGGAAGGGCAGUAAGUUAAUACCUUGCUGUUUUGACGUUACCAACAGAAUAAGCACCGGCUAACUUCGUGCCAGCAGCCGCGGUAAUACGAAGGGUGCAAGCGUUAAUCGGAAUUACUGGGCGUAAAGCGCGCGUAGGUGGUUCAGCAAGUUGGAUGUGAAAUCCCCGGGCUCAACCUGGGAACUGCAUCCAAAACUACUGAGCUAGAGUACGGUAGAGGGUGGUGGAAUUUCCUGUGUAGCGGUGAAAUGCGUAGAUAUAGGAAGGAACACCAGUGGCGAAGGCGACCACCUGGACUGAUACUGACACUGAGGUGCGAAAGCGUGGGGAGCAAACAGGAUUAGAUACCCUGGUAGUCCACGCCGUAAA
RNAcentral lists this ribosomal RNA (803 nucleotides) under uncultured bacterium. RNAcentral's name for it is "bacterial SSU rRNA". It matches the Rfam family "Bacterial small subunit ribosomal RNA", at positions 8 to 806 of the family's 1533-position model. The record is from RNAcentral.